UUCCGGUUGAUCCUGCCGGAGGUCACUGCUAUUGGGGUCCGACUAAGCCAUGCGAGUCAAUAGUUCUUCGUGAACUAGGCGGACGGCUCAGUAACACGUGGGUAAUCUACCCUCAGGACAGGGAUAACCCCGGGAAACUGGGGAUAAUACCUGAUAGGUGGAGAGGUCAUGGAAUGAUCCUCCGCCCAAAGAUCCGGCGCCUGAGGAUGAGCCUGCGGCCGAUUAGGUUGUUGGCGGUGUAACGGACCACCAAGCCUGAGAUCGGUACGGGCACUGAGAGGUGGAGCCCGGAGAUGGGGGCUGAGAAACGGCCCCAGGCCUACGGGGCGCAGCANGCGCGAAAACUCCGCAAUACGCGAAAGCGUGACGGGGGGACCCCAAGUGUCAUGCCUUCGGGUAUGACUU
This 405-nucleotide ribosomal RNA is filed under the name uncultured archaeon. RNAcentral describes it as "bacterial SSU rRNA". It matches the Rfam family "Archaeal small subunit ribosomal RNA", at positions 1 to 409 of the family's 1478-position model. The record is from RNAcentral.